This 538-nucleotide transfer RNA is filed under the name uncultured Prochlorococcus sp. RNAcentral describes it as "partial 16S-23S ribosomal RNA intergenic spacer". The stretch from base 125 to 198 matches the Rfam family "tRNA". Lineage: Bacteria; Bacillati; Cyanobacteriota; Cyanophyceae; Synechococcales; Prochlorococcaceae. The record is from RNAcentral.
CAGGGAGACAACAAAAUGUUUAAUAUUAUUAUUUUGUCACCUUAGGUCGAUCGGUACCUCACAUUUUUAAUUUAUUAAAAAUUUCAUUUCCUAAGUUUUUCUAGGCCACACCCAUUAUUUUCCUGGGCCAUUAGCUCAGGUGGUUAGAGCGCACCCCUGAUAAGGGUGAGGUCCCUGGUUCAAGUCCAGGAUGGCCCAUAUCUCUAUGUUGGGGGUAUAGCUCAGUUGGUAGAGCGCCUGCUUUGCAAGCAGGAUGUCAGCGGNUCCAGUCCCCUUACCUCCACUGAUUACCACCUCUUCCAUAAAAUGUAGAAGGGAAAUGUUUGAGUUGUGAUCACUUUCUGAACGAAUCUAGCUUCCUAAUGUAAUCAUUAAGAUGCUGGACUCAUUGAAUUAAUUUCAUUGAUUUCAGAGAACCUUGACAACUGCAUAGAUUAUUUUUAAAGACAAUAAGCAUCUUUAAUGAUGCAGAUUUAUUAUUUGUGCGAAUGCAUUAAUAACAAUUCUAUUAAGCUGAUGCUUCAAUUUUGAAGUUAUU